Molecule: ribosomal RNA, 305 nt
Filed under: uncultured bacterium
Lineage: Bacteria
Description: bacterial SSU rRNA
Rfam family: Bacterial small subunit ribosomal RNA
Source: RNAcentral
UGCCUACGGGACGCAGCAGUAGGGAAUUUUCGUCAAUGGGCGCAAGCCUGAACGAGCAAUGCCGCGUGAACGAGGAAGGUCUUCGGAUCGUAAAGUUCUGUUGAAGGGGAAAAAGAGCGGAGAGAGGAAAUGGUCUCCGAUUGAUAUUACCCUUCGAGGAAGUCACGGCUAACUACGUGCCAGCAGCCGCGGUAAUACGGAGGAUGCGAGCGUUAUCCGGAUUUACUGGGUUUAAAGGGUGCGCAGGCGGAUUUUUAAGUCAGCGGUCAAAUCGUGGGGCUCAACCCCAUCCAGCCGUUGAAACU